RNAcentral lists this transfer RNA (72 nucleotides) under Phycisphaerae bacterium. RNAcentral's name for it is "tRNA-Thr". It matches the Rfam family "tRNA". From Rfam's summary of the family: Transfer RNA (tRNA) molecules are approximately 80 nucleotides in length. Lineage: Bacteria; Pseudomonadati; Planctomycetota; Phycisphaerae. The record is from RNAcentral.
GCCGAUGUAGCUCAACGGUAGAGCACGGCUUUCGUAAAGCCGGGGUUGAGGGUUCGAUUCCCUCCAUCGGCU